AAUUAGAGUUAGUAUACACAUUCCAUUCAGUAGAGACAUCACCAACCCAUUUUCUAUUUGUCGAGCAAAUUUCCAAAGUUCCUGAAGAUUUUGUUUCUUUUCUGGUGGUUGGAUUUCUCUACCAGAGGAAAUCAAAUUGUGUUACUGAAGAAAGGAUUAUAAAAAAAAAAGAGAUAGUGCUCUGAUGGAUUUCCUAACACAAAUAUGUUCCAUUCCUUGUUUUACCACUUGCUAAUUUUGUUCACUGGUUUUCUGCAUAGACAUAUAUUGAUUUAAGAAUAAAAAGCAGAUUAAUA
Molecule: unclassified non-coding RNA, 296 nt
Filed under: Hevea brasiliensis (rubber tree)
Lineage: Eukaryota; Viridiplantae; Streptophyta; Magnoliopsida; Malpighiales; Euphorbiaceae
Source: RNAcentral